UACGUAGGGGGCAAGCGUUGUCCGGAAUUAUUGGGCGUAAAGCGCGUGUAGGCGGCUUUGCAAGUCGGGUGUGAAAGCCCUCAGCUUAACUGAGGAAGUGCGCCCGAAACUGCAGAGCUUGAGUACCGGAGAGGAUGGCGGAAUUCCCCAAGUAGAGGUGAAAUUCGUAGAUAUGGGGAGGAACACCGGUGGCGAAGGCGGCCAUCUGGACGGAUACUGACGCUGAGACGCGAAAGCGUGGGUAGCAAACAGG
RNAcentral lists this ribosomal RNA (253 nucleotides) under uncultured bacterium. Its description in RNAcentral is "partial 16S ribosomal RNA". It matches the Rfam family "Bacterial small subunit ribosomal RNA", at positions 524 to 776 of the family's 1533-position model. The record is from RNAcentral.